AGAGUUUGAUCCUGGCUCAGGACGAACGCUGGCGGCGUGCUUAACACAUGCAAGUCGAGCGAGGCCCUCUUUCGGGGGGUGCCCUAGCGGCAGACGGGUGAGUAACGCGUGGGAACGUGCCCUUCAGUUCGGGAUAACCCAGGGAAACUUGGGCUAAUACCGGAUACGUGCGAGAGCAGAAAGAUUUAUCGCUGAAGGAUCGGCCCGCGUCUGAUUAGCUAGUUGGUGGGGUAAUGGCCCACCAAGGCGACGAUCAGUAGCUGGUCUGAGAGGAUGAUCAGCCACAUUGGGACUGAGACACGGCCCAAACUCCUACGGGAGGCAGCAGUGGGGAAUAUUGGACAAUGGGCGCAAGCCUGAUCCAGCCAUGCCGCGUGAGUGAUGAAGGCCUUAGGGUUGUAAAGCUCUUUCGUCCGGGACGAUAAUGACGGUACCGGAAGAAGAAGCCCCGGCUAACUUCGUGCCAGCAGCCGCGGUAAUACGAAGGGGGCUAGCGUUGUUCGGAAUCACUGGGCGUAAAGGGCGCGUAGGCGGCUUUGUAAGUCGGGGGUGAAAGCCUGUGGCUCAACCACAGAAUUGCCUUCGAUACUGCAUGGCUUGAGACCGGAAGAGGUAAGUGGAACUGCGAGUGUAGAGGUGAAAUUCGUAGAUAUUCGCAAGAACACCAGUGGCGAAGGCGGCUUACUGGUCCGGUUCUGACGCUGAGGCGCGAAAGCGUGGGGAGCAAACAGGAUUAGAUACCCUAGUAGUCC
This 752-nucleotide ribosomal RNA is filed under the name uncultured bacterium. RNAcentral's name for it is "bacterial SSU rRNA". It matches the Rfam family "Bacterial small subunit ribosomal RNA", at positions 8 to 796 of the family's 1533-position model. The record is from RNAcentral.